AGUUAAAAUUUUGUUUUUUUUUUUUUUUUGAGAAAUAGGUAGUACACUACCCGCUUCGUUUAUUUUAUUUAGAAAUAAACUUAGCUGGAAAUAUGAAUCAAUUAGGAUUCGAACUUGGGUAUCGGGUACCAACUACCAAGCCCUUUGUCACUUGCUCUAGGGACGGUCAGUACUAGUUAAGAACAAAAAGUGUAACGAUCCGACCUGUUAGCAAUAAUAAUUUGUUAUGGCCAAACAACCGGUCCAAAAUGCUUAAGUCCGGCUAUUAUUAUUAGCGUAUAAGCCUCAUAUAUUCCAAUGAAUCUAAUCAACCUUACAAACUCUCUAUAUUUGGACCCCGAUGUCCUCGUCAGGUUCAAACCAGAUCACAAAUGCAGAUUAAAAUUACCAGGCGAUGUGAAAUCCUAGAGAUGGCUCCUACGGGUUCAAAAGGUGGCUCCUAACUACCAAAUCCGUUGGUGUAGCACUUUGUCCCGUAUAGCACUUAUCUCUCACACUUCCGGCUAGUAUUCGUUUUUAAUACUAAUUGUAACGAUCUGACCAGCUAGUAGGGAUGCAAACGGGGCGGAUCCGGGGCGGGAGGGUUACCCCACCUCUUGCUCCAUUUUUGUCAGGACGGCGCGGAUUCGGAACGUGUUAUAUUUUAUAUUUUAUUUAUAUUUUGCUCCCACUUACCGCCCAUUCGGGGGGAUCGGGGCGGGAGCGGAUUUUUGACGAAUCAAGACUGAUUGAAGGAAGAAAAAGGUCUCUCGCCUCCCGCUCUAAUUAGUUGGUGGAUGGGAAUGAGUUAUAUUUUUUCAUAUUUUUUAUUCCCACUUAUCGCCCCAGUCGGGGCGGAUCGGGGUGGGAGCUCCACCAACCCGGAUCCAUUUGCAUCCCUAUUCGCUAGCAAUAAUAACUUGUUAAAUUCAAACCACAAGCCCAAAAUACUUAAGUUCAGUUAAUUUUAUUAGAGUGUAGGCCUCAUAUAUUCUAAUCAGAAUUAGUUUUUUACCAGAUGUGAGGACGCUACAAAAAGACUCUCUAAACAGUUUUCAAAAGUACUUUAGAGGUCUGCUCCCUCCUAUUCUGGAAAACAUGGCAGAAAAAUCGUGACAGAGAUGUACAUCUCAAGAGCGAAGGUAUUAAUUUUUUUACACAGGCUAUGUACAAUAGUAUACAAAUCCUCCUAUUUGUUAAAUAAUAGAAAAUAACCGUUGUACUCUAAAAUUAAGUUUAAUUUUGUAAAAAACGGUGUUUAAAUAUUUUUAUGUUUAACACUUUCUUUCACGUCUAGACUCAAGACUUUUCGUUAAGCUCAUGAGGUGGACUUAAAUUAAAUAAAAAAAAUUAAUAAUGUUAAGAGUCUGGAGUGAUUCGAACCCAUCAUAAUUUUCUAUUCUGAUACCAUAUUAAAUAAUACGAAGCUACAUCUAUACUCUAACUUAAAUUUAUAGAGAACGAUGUUUAAAUAUUUUUAUAUUUAACACUAUUAACUUUUGGUUGUAGCUAGUGGCAAAAACUCCAUUGAAUAUAACUCCAUAUAAUCCAACAAAUAAUAAUUAUUAAUAAUUAAACCAAAGAAUUUACGAGGGAACAAAACAUAAGAUAAUUACUGAUCGUUUCUAGCUAGCGCAAGUGGCAAAGUACUUGGUGGUUGAUAUCUGAGAUUUCAAGUUCGAAUCCUAAUUGAUUCAUAUUUUUAGCUAAAUUUAUUUUUUAAAAAAUAAACGAAACGGAUAGCGUGCUAAAAACAAAACAUAAGAUAAUUAAGAUAAAUAUCAUUUUAAUUAGAAUAUAUCGAU
Molecule: long non-coding RNA, 1784 nt
Filed under: Ananas comosus (pineapple)
Lineage: Eukaryota; Viridiplantae; Streptophyta; Magnoliopsida; Poales; Bromeliaceae
Description: long non-coding RNA (ACOM_LNC019550)
Source: RNAcentral